CUCAGGAUGAACGCUAGCUACAGGCUUAACACAUGCAAGUCGAGGGGCAGCAUGGUCUUAGCUUGCUAAGGCCGAUGGCGACCGGCGCACGGGUGAGUAACGCGUAUCCAACCUGCCUUACACUCUUGGACAGCCUUCUGAAAGGGAGAUUAAUACAAGAUGUUAUCAUGAGUAAGCAUUUUCGCAUGAUUAAAGGUUUACCGGUGUAAGAUGGGGAUGCGUUCCAUUAGAUAGUAGGCGGGGUAACGGCCCACCUAGUCUUCGAUGGAUAGGGGUUCUGAGAGGAAGGUCCCCCACAUUGGAACUGAGACACGGUCCAAACUCCUACGGGAGGCAGCAGUGAGGAAUAUUGGUCAAUGGACGAGAGUCUGAACCAGCCAAGUAGCGUGAAGGAUGAAGGUUCUAUGGAUUGUAAACUUCUUUUAUACGGGAAUAAACGGAUCCACGUGUGGAUUUUUGCAUGUACCGUAUGAAUAAGGAUCGGCUAACUCCGUGCCAGCAGCCGCGGUAAUACGGAGGAUCCGAGCGUUAUCCGGAUUUAUUGGGUUUAAAGGGAGCGUAGAUGGGUUGUUAAGUCAGUUGUGAAAGUUUGCGGCUCAACCGUAAAAUUGCAAUUGAUACUGGCAGUCUUGAGUACAGUUGAGGUAGGCGGAAUUCGUGGUGUAGCGGUGAAAUGCUUAGAUAUCACGAAGAACUCCGAUUGCGAAGGCAGCUUACUAACCUGUAACUGACAUUGAUGCUCGAAAGUGUGGGUAUCAAACAGGAUUAGAUACCCUGGUAGUCCACACGGUAAACGAUGAAUACUCGCUGUAGGCGAUAUACAGUCUGCGGCCAAGCGAAAGCAUUAAGUAUUCCACCUGGGGAGUACGCCGGCAACGGUGAAACUCAAAGGAAUUGACGGGGGCCCGCACAAGCGGAGGAACAUGUGGUUUAAUUCGAUGAUACGCGAGGAACCUUACCCGGGCUUAAAUUGCAACCGAAUAUGGCGGAAACGCUAUAGCUAGCAAUAGCGGUUGUGAAGGUGCUGCAUGGUUGUCGUCAGCUCGUGCCGUGAGGUGUCGGCUUAAGUGCCAUAACGAGCGCAACCCUUGCCGAUAGUUACUAACAGGUCAUGCUGAGGACUCUGUCGGGACUGCCAUCGUAAGAUGUGAGGAAGGUGGGGAUGACGUCAAAUCAGCACGGCCCUUACGUCCGGGGCUACACACGUGUUACAAUGGGGGGUACAGAGGGCUGCUACCACGCAAGUGGAUGCCAAUCCCAAAAACCUCUCUCAGUUCGGAUUGAAGUCUGCAACCCGACUUCAUGAAGCUGGAUUCGCUAGUAAUCGCGCAUCAGCCACGGCGCGGUGAAUACGUUCCCGGGCCUUGUACACACCGCCCGUCAAGCCAUGGGAGCCGGGGGUACCUGAAGUGCGUAACCGCAAGGAGCGCCCUAGGGUAAAACU
This 1444-nucleotide ribosomal RNA is filed under the name uncultured organism. RNAcentral's name for it is "SSU rRNA". It matches the Rfam family "Bacterial small subunit ribosomal RNA". The record is from RNAcentral.